AUCGUAUAAAAGAGGUGCAAGGGCUGUCGCUGACCAUCAAAGGUCGUGCACGUCCAAGCGCUUCCACACAAUCCAUCUCACCCCUUUGUGCAUCACCGCGUGGGUCCCUCCUUUGCGGGAAGGGCCUGCGUUUUAUCAUAAAACUUGACACAGUGUAGAAUGUUCAUUUUUGCGAUCACACGCAAUCAAUACAACUUUCAACAACGGAUCUCUUGGCUCUCGCAUCGAUGAAGAACGCAGCGAAAUGCGAUACGUAAUGUGAAUUGCAGAAUUCAGUGAAUCAUCGAAUCUUUGAACGCACCUUGCGCCCCUUGGCAUUCCGAGGGGCACACCCGUUUGAGUGUCGUGAAAUUCUCAAAACUCUUUUUCUUGUCGAGAAAAGGAUUUUUGGACUUGGAGGUUCAAUGCUUGUCUUCACUUUUGAAAGCGAGCUCCUCUCAAAUGAAUUAGUGGGGUCUGCUUUGCUGAUCCUUGACGUGAUAAGAUGUUUCUACGUUUUGGAUUUGGCACUGUCCUUUGGACGUUCGCUCCCAACUGUCUUAUGGACAACGAUGGUGCUUCGGUCACCGCCAUCUACAUUGGCGGGAGGCUGGACCCACAAAAAACCCUUGACCUCAAAUCGG
This 623-nucleotide ribosomal RNA is filed under the name uncultured Amanita. RNAcentral's name for it is "eukaryotic LSU rRNA". The stretch from base 193 to 346 matches the Rfam family "5.8S ribosomal RNA". The record is from RNAcentral. Lineage: Eukaryota; Fungi; Basidiomycota; Agaricomycetes; Agaricales; Amanitaceae.